UGGAUCCAGACUUUGAUCCUGGCUCAGGACGAACGCUGGCGGCGUGCCUAACACAUGCAAGUCGAACGGAACUAUUCUAAAAGAUUUCUUCGGAAUGAUUUUGGCUUAGUUUAGUGGCGGACGGGUGAGUAACGCGUGAGUAACCUGCCUUCAAGAGGGGGAUAACGUUCUGAAAAGGACGCUAAUACCGCAUAACAUAUCGGAAUCGCAUGGUUUUGAUAUCAAAGAUUUUAUCGCUUGAAGAUGGACUCGCGUCCGAUUAGUUAGUUGGUGAGGUAACGGCUCACCAAGACCGCGGUCGGUAGCCGGACUGAGAGGUUGAACGGCCACAUUGGGACUGAGACACGGCCCAGACUCCUACGGGAGGCAGCAGUGGGGGAUAUUGCGCAAUGGGGGCAACCCUGACGCAGCAACGCCGCGUGAAGGAUGAAGGUUUUCGGAUUGUAAACUUCUUUUCUUAUGGACGAAAACUGACGGUACUUAAGGAAUAGCUCCGGCUAACUACGUGCCAGCAGCCGCGGUAAUACGUAGGGAGCAAGCGUUGUCCGGAUUUACUGGGUGUAAAGGGUGCGUAGGCGGCAAUGCAAGUCAGAUGUGAAAUCUAUGGGCUCAACCCAUAAACUGCAUUUGAAACUGCGUUGCUUGAGCGAAGUAGAGGCAGGCGGAAUUCCCCGUGUAGCGGUGAAAUGCGUAGAGAUGGGGAGGAACACCAGUGGCGAAGGCGGCCUGCUGGGCUUUAACUGACGCUGAGGCACGAAAGCGUGGGUAGCAAACAGGAUUAGAUACCCUGGUAGUCCACGCUGUAAACGAUGAUUACUAGGUGUGGGGGGUUCUGACCCCUUCCGUGCCGGAGUUAACGCAAUAAGUAAUCCACCUGGGGAGUACGGCCGCAAGGUUGCAACUCAAAGGAAUUGACGGA
RNAcentral lists this ribosomal RNA (919 nucleotides) under uncultured Bacillota bacterium. RNAcentral describes it as "bacterial SSU rRNA". It matches the Rfam family "Bacterial small subunit ribosomal RNA", at positions 1 to 917 of the family's 1533-position model. The record is from RNAcentral. Lineage: Bacteria; Bacillati; Bacillota.